AGCUGGGACCCACUCCGGGCUUGGGGACCCGGCGGGCAGGAGAAGCGCGGGCUCCCGGCGCGGCCUGGAAGGAGCGAGAAAGCAAAAGGCAUUUUUGGUCGAAGAGAGCUGAAGUAAUGAGAAGACAUCAUGGAGGCCCAGUCCCACAGCUCCACGACCACUGAAAAGAAAAAAGUUGAGAAUUCCAUAGUGAAGUGCUCCACUCGAACAGAUGUGAGCGAGAAAGCCGUUGCCUCCAGCACCACUUCUAAUGGUGAGCAGCACAGGGAUUACCAGCAGCCCAGCCUGGAGUCAUUUCUGUGUUCUCUGCAUUCCUUGUGAAUUGAGCGUUUGCACCUGGACCAGUGUUUGUUCUAGGAGAGGCUAAAGAAAGCAAAUGGAGCAGGGGCGGGGGGACGGCGGGGGGACAUGGAAUGUAGUAAUCUCUAUUUUGGCACUCAACCUACACGUUGACUUCCAAACUUUCUAAUUUGAGAUGUAAAUGUGAUAGGUUAUUUAUUAUCAGAAGUUCCUGUUUUGGCAUUUUGGAAAUCAUCUUGACUAGUCUGGCAAGAGUUCAAAAUGCUUUGUGUUGCAUAUGGAU
This 583-nucleotide small RNA is filed under the name Pan troglodytes (chimpanzee). Its description in RNAcentral is "retained intron". Lineage: Eukaryota; Metazoa; Chordata; Mammalia; Primates; Hominidae. The record is from RNAcentral.